Molecule: ribosomal RNA, 497 nt
Filed under: uncultured bacterium
Lineage: Bacteria
Description: partial 16S ribosomal RNA
Rfam family: Bacterial small subunit ribosomal RNA
Source: RNAcentral
GAUGAACGCUGGCGGCGUGCCUAAUACAUGCAAGUCGAACGAACAGGCGCUGCGCUUGCUGUUCUGUCGUUUGCGGCGCGCGUGUGAAUCACACGUGUAUCCCCUCCCUAUCAUUCUGAUAUAUCUUCGGAACACCGGCUCUAAUCCCAUAUAAUCUCUUGCUCCGCGUUGUUCGUUGGUGAAAUUCGGUGGUUCUGUCUCUUCUAGCUGCAUCCGGGCUGCAUUAUCUAGUUGGUACGUUAACGGCUUACCAAGGCAACGAUGCCUAACCGACCUGAGAGGGGGAUCGGCCACAUUGGAACGGAGACACGGUCCAGACUCCUACGGGAGGCAGCAGUAGGGAAUGGUACGCAGUGGGCGAAAGCCUGACGGAGCAACGCCGCGUGAGAGAUGAAGGUGCUCGGAUCGUAAAACUCUGUUAUUAGGGAAGAACAUAUGUGUAAGUAACUGUGCACAUCGUGACGGUACCUAAUCAGAAAGCAACGGCUAACUACGUG